ACUCCUACGGGGAGGCAGCAGUGGGGAAUAUUGCACAAUGGGCGCAAGCCUGAUGCAGCCAUGCCGCGUGUGUGAAGAAGGCCUUCGGGUUGUAAAGCACUUUCAGUCGUGAGGAAGGUAGUGUAGUUAAUAGCUGCAUUAUUUGUACGUUAGCGACAGAAGAAGCACCGGCUAACUCCGUGCCAGCAGCCGCGGUAAUACGGAGGGUGCGAGCGUUAAUCGGAAUUACUGGGCGUAAAGCGCAUGCAGGUGGUUUGUUAAGUCAGAUGUGAAAGCCCGGGGCUCAACCUCGGAAUAGCAUUUGAAACUGGCAGACUAGAGUACUGUAGAGGGGGGUAGAAUUUCAGGUGUAGCGGUGAAAGUGCGUAGAGAUCUGAAGGAAUACCGGUGGCGAAGGCGGCCCCCUGGACAGAUACUGACACU
RNAcentral lists this ribosomal RNA (423 nucleotides) under uncultured bacterium. RNAcentral describes it as "bacterial SSU rRNA". It matches the Rfam family "Bacterial small subunit ribosomal RNA", at positions 335 to 747 of the family's 1533-position model. The record is from RNAcentral.